Molecule: RNase P RNA, 362 nt
Filed under: Deltaproteobacteria bacterium
Lineage: Bacteria; Pseudomonadati; Myxococcota; Myxococcia
Description: RNase P RNA component class A
Rfam family: Bacterial RNase P class A
About the family: Ribonuclease P (RNase P) is a ubiquitous endoribonuclease, found in archaea, bacteria and eukarya as well as chloroplasts and mitochondria. Its best characterised activity is the generation of mature 5'-ends of tRNAs by cleaving the 5'-leader elements of precursor-tRNAs.
Source: RNAcentral
GGGGCAGGCCAGGUGGUCGCUGGCCCAGCGGGGCCAGAGGAAAGUCCGAGCUCCAGAGGGCAGGAUGGUCGCUAACGGCGACUGCCCCGACAGGGGUCAGGAAAGUGCCACAGAAACCAGACCGCCUCGGGUUCGGGCCCGGGGUAAGGGUGAAAGGGUGAGGUAAGAGCUCACCAGCGUCCCGAGCGAUCGGGGCGGCUUGGCAAACCCCAUCCGGAGCAAGACCGAAUAGGAGGGCGAAGGGGUGGCCCGCCCCAUGCCCUCGGGUAGGUCGCAUGAGGUAUGCGGCAACGCAUGCCCCAGAUAAAUGACCACCACUCCCUUCGGGGAGGACAGAACUCGGCUUAUGGCCUGUCGGUCCU